Molecule: ribosomal RNA, 743 nt
Filed under: uncultured bacterium
Lineage: Bacteria
Description: bacterial SSU rRNA
Rfam family: Bacterial small subunit ribosomal RNA
Source: RNAcentral
AGCGGCGGAUGGGUGAGUAACACGUGGGGAACCUGCCCCUAAGUCUGGGAUACCAUUUGGAAACAGGUGCUAAUACCGGAUAAUAAAGCAGAUCGCAUGAUCAGCUUUUGAAAGGCGGCGUAAGCUGUCGCUAAGGGAUGGCCCCGCGGUGCAUUAGCUAGUUGGUAAGGUAACGGCUUACCAAGGCGACGAUGCAUAGCCGAGUUGAGAGACUGAUCGGCCACAUUGGGACUGAGACACGGCCCAAACUCCUACGGGAGGCAGCAGCAGGGAAUCUUCCACAAUGGACGCAAGUCUGAUGGAGCAACGCCGCGUGAGUGAAGAAGGUUUUCGGAUCGUAAAGCUCUGUUGUUGGUGAAGAAGGAUAGAGGUAGUAACUGGCCUUUAUUUGACGGUAAUCAACCAGAAAGUCACGGCUAACUACGUGCCAGCAGCCGCGGUAAUACGUAGGUGGCAAGCGUUGUCCGGAUUUAUUGGGCGUAAAGCGAGCGCAGGCGGAAAAAUAAGUCUAAUGUGAAAGCCCUCGGCUUAACCGAGGAACUGCAUCGGAAACUGUUUUUCUUGAGUGCAGAAGAGGAGAGUGGAACUCCAUGUGUAGCGGUGGAAUGCGUAGAUAUAUGGAAGAACACCAGUGGCGAAGGCGGCUCUCUGGUCUGCAACUGACGCUGAGGCUCGAAAGCAUGGGUAGCGAACAGGAUUAGAUACCCUGGUAGUCCAUGCCGUAAACGAUGAGUGCUAAGUGC